GACGGGGGGUCCAAGCGUUGUUCGGAAUCAUUGGGCGUAAAGCGUGUGCAGGUGGUCUUGUAAGUUAGGUGUGAAAUCCCCGGGCUCAACUCGGGAAGUGCACUUAAAACUACAAGACUUGAGUAAGGAAGAGGGUCGUGGAAUUCCUGGUGUAGUGGUGAAAUACGUAGAUAUCAGGAGGAACACCGGUGGCGAAGGCGGCGACCUGGUCCUAUACUGACACUCAUACACGAAAGCGUGGGGAUCAAACAGG
This 253-nucleotide ribosomal RNA is filed under the name uncultured bacterium. Its description in RNAcentral is "partial 16S ribosomal RNA". It matches the Rfam family "Bacterial small subunit ribosomal RNA", at positions 524 to 776 of the family's 1533-position model. The record is from RNAcentral.